UCGGAUAUGAGUUGAAGCUUGCAACAACAUAUAUAGUUAAUUUUUACAGCUUCCGCUUCUACAAUUAAUUUUAGAGCUUAUGCAGCUAUGAUCAGUAUUUCCACCGAAACUUUUACAGUCUGAAGGAGAAAUCCUCUUGUGGGGCUUAGCAGAAGCUGCCUUUUCUCAGUACUUGACAUACUACGUAUGAUUCCUUUUAUUAUUAAUAACAAUAAUACUACUAUAUGUGUUUACUAAAAUUUCGCAUGCUAAAGACUCUUAUGUUUUCACCAUCACCAUUUGAUUGUUUUGAUAUUUAAAUUGCAGCACUUGUUAACUCUUUAUAAUUGAAAAGGGGUCCCUAAAUGUAGCGUGUACCUAUGAAAAAUUUGGACAACAUGAACAUGUGAGGAUUCUGUUUUGCAUUCGGUUGGCCUUCUAAAGAAGAUUUAGGGAGGCAGUAUGUCUCAGGUAUUUAUGACAAAUGUUCGUUACACUUUAUUCUUUCGAGUAGGAAUUAGCCUUUUCUCUCUCUUUAACAGAGUACAUUACUUUGGAAAUUUUCAAUUGUUGCCUGCUGUCCAUGCACAAAUUAGGUACUCUUAUAUUACUUCUGAGCUUCUACACAAGUGCCUACAGAUUUACUUGAUUUAUUAGAUCAUACAAACUACUACAAAGUAUACUGCAGAAUAUUUGUUCUCCACUAACAGCAACACCUUCCGUUAAAAAGGGAAUUAUUUCAUUAUUGGAGGCUUUCAUGUACAUAUUAUUGGCAGCUCAUUGGCGGUUUGGAUUUCUAUAUCAGAUGAGAAAAAAUGAUGCCUCCUGAACAUUAGUUGCAUUUUCAGUUUUAGCCUGUCUACGGGUACUAUGUAGAGCUCAUGCUUCGUUGAUUCAUCUCCCUGCUGCUACUGAUGGUGCCCAAGGGGUGGUCCAGUCUAGAGGACAUGUAUUUCUCCUCGCUUUUGAAAUUUUAGAACUGAAUCAAAUUUUCAUCAGUAGACAAGCUGAGUUUAUAGUAUAUAAAUUAUGAGAGGAUCAUGCCUUCUCCUUUCAAUAUGAAUUCCCUUCGUGCAAUUGCCCCAGACCUAAAUUAUGAGAGGAUUAUGGAGGCGAUGAAGAAGUAAAUUAUAAGAAGCUGAGUUUAUAGUUGUACAACGCACUGUGGAGGCAUGGUCUUUCUCAGGAUGACUAACAAGGAUGAUCAGCAAGUGUUUGUUUGCCAAAAUUAUGGCGGUUUGAAAAAAG
RNAcentral lists this long non-coding RNA (1227 nucleotides) under Triticum aestivum (bread wheat). RNAcentral's name for it is "long non-coding RNA (TAES_LNC020462)". The record is from RNAcentral. Lineage: Eukaryota; Viridiplantae; Streptophyta; Magnoliopsida; Poales; Poaceae.